Molecule: long non-coding RNA, 226 nt
Filed under: Carica papaya (papaya)
Lineage: Eukaryota; Viridiplantae; Streptophyta; Magnoliopsida; Brassicales; Caricaceae
Description: long non-coding RNA (CPAP_LNC011778)
Source: RNAcentral
AUUAAAAUAAAAUAAAUAAAUAAAUAAAUAAUUAUAUUUAUUAAUAAAAAAAAAUUUUUAAAAAGGUUUGGUGGGUGUUACAAUUCUCCCCCCUCAAAAGAAAUUUGAUCCCUCAAAUUUGUUUUUCACUUUCAAUCGAACAGUUGGGGACGCUGAACUCUAAAGUCUAAUUCUAGCUCCCAUGUAGCUUCCCUCGGUGUGUGGUUCAUCCAUAUGACAUUUACAA